UCGAACAGACCUAAAUUUUUUAGCUUCUACACCAAAAUUUAAUUUUAAUCCAACAUCGAGGUCGCAAUCCUUCUUUUCGAUUUGAACUCUCAAAAAAGAUUACGCUGUUAUCCCUAAGGUAAUUUACUCUUUUAAUCUUAAACUAAGGAUCAAUUAUUCAUAAAUAAAUGUAACAUUAAAAAAAAAGUUUAUCCAAUUUUUCAAUCACCCCAACUAAAUUAAUAUUUUAAUAAAAAAAAAUUAAUACUAAUAAUUCUUAUAAAUUUACUAAUAAAACUCUAUAGGGUCUUCUCGUCUUUUAUUAAAAUUUAAGCUUUUUAACUUAAAAAUAAAAUUCUAAUAAAUUUAAAUAGAGACAGUUAUUUUCUCAUCUAACCUUUCAUUCCAGCUUUCAAUUAAAAAACUAAUGAUUAUGCUACCUUUGCACGGUCAGUAUACCGCGGCCAUUUAAAUUCUCAUUGGGCAGGCCAGACCUUAAAUUAUAUUCAAAAA
This 492-nucleotide ribosomal RNA is filed under the name Celeuthetini gen. 8 sp. 3 MB-2015. RNAcentral's name for it is "partial 16S ribosomal RNA". The record is from RNAcentral. Lineage: Eukaryota; Metazoa; Arthropoda; Insecta; Coleoptera; Curculionidae.